RNAcentral lists this long non-coding RNA (1455 nucleotides) under Marmota monax (woodchuck). The record is from RNAcentral. Lineage: Eukaryota; Metazoa; Chordata; Mammalia; Rodentia; Sciuridae.
CGGAAAAUAAAAAGCCCUGAGCGAGCUAAGAACCUAAAAAAGAAAGAAUUGCAAGAAAUUUCUUGAUUCUACAGAAACUGGAGCAUUAAGGUAAGAUCUGACAGAAUCAGGAAAGAUAUCUAGGGAUGCACCAAAAGAUGCCUGAUGAUCUUCUUGAGCACAAAAAAAUAAAAAUCCCUUCAGUGAGUUUUAAACUUCCCUUUCCCUGUAUUAUCUGUACCAAAUAAUAUGCAUUCUUUAAUUAUAAAUAUACCACAUCUAAAAUUCUCAAACAAGAGCAAGAUAAUGAGUUUAGCUAGAUCAUAUGUAUCUAUUUCACCAUCAAUGCCAGAAACAAUGUAAGUAAGAAUUGGAUUUCUGCAAUGCCUCUCUGAAUUUCUUAAUCUAUAAAAUGGUGAUUAAAAUAAUAUCUGCUCAGUUCACAUCUCUGAAUAACUAUGAAAACCAGGUGUGAUAAGAUAUGCAAAAAAAAAAAAAAAAAAACCCUUACCAACUGUACUACAGAUGCAGGCAUUCUCAUGAGCUAUAAUGGCAGGUAACAAGACCUGGGUAAUAGGCCUAGCAAACUGCUAAUGAGAAAGGGCAAGAACCAUCAAGAAUAUCUUAGAACAAAGACUGCUUUAUGUCUACCAAGACUCUUGAGGGUUUUUUCCUAGGAAAUUAAAGCAUUAAUCAGAAAUAGUUAAGAAUCACAGAUAACAUCAAGCCUAAUCUGGUAGUUCCUUGGGUAAGGAAAAGAAAGCUCAAGAGAGUUAAGUGACACAGUAAAGGGACACAUUUAGGCUGGAACACAACACCUACCCUGUCUUUUCCAUUUGCCACCACAAAAUAAAUACCAGUCCACUUCUCACGGAUAAUAUAGGUUGGAUAUCCCUUUUCUGAAAUGCUCAGGAUCGGAAGUGUUUCAGAUUUCAGAUUUUUUUCAGAUUUGGGAGUAUCUACAUGUGCAUAAUAAGGUAUCAUUGGGACAGGACCCAAGUCUGAACAGCAAAUUCAUUUAUAUUUCAUAUACAGUUAAACACAUAGAGGAAAGUUUUACAAUAUUCAUAAUAUCUUUGUUAUUGAAACAAAGUUCCAUGGUACGGAAUUUUCCACUUGUGGUGCCAUGCUGUUCCUCAAAAAAUGUUAGAUUUGGAGCAUUUUGCAUCUCAGUUUAUUGGAUUAGGUAAGCUCUACCUGUAUAGUUGUGAUAUAAUUGUGAGUCAAUUUGAUUUAUGUGUGUGUGUGUGUGUGUGCAUGUGUGACACCAAGUAACCUAUGGGUGUUCUAUCACUGAGCUAUAUCCACAGCCCCCCAGCCCACCCCACGCUUUGUGUGUGUGUGUGAGUGUGUGUGAGUGUGUGUGUGUGUGUGAUAGGGUCAAACUAAGUUUUCCAGGCUGGCCUUGAAUUUGUGAUCUCCCUGCCUCAUCCUCCCAAGUAGCUGGGAUUACAGGCUUGCACCACUAUACCUGGC